This 1223-nucleotide ribosomal RNA is filed under the name Bipolaris sp. ES64. RNAcentral describes it as "eukaryotic LSU rRNA". It matches the Rfam family "Eukaryotic large subunit ribosomal RNA", at positions 91 to 1385 of the family's 3401-position model. Lineage: Eukaryota; Fungi; Ascomycota; Dothideomycetes; Pleosporales; Pleosporaceae. The record is from RNAcentral.
GAGUGAAGCGGCAACAGCUCAAAUUUGAAAUCUGGGUCCGAGUUGUAAUUUGCAGAGGGCGCUUUGGCUUUGGCCGGUCCAAGUUCCUUGGAACAGGACGUCACAGAGGGUGAGAAUCCCGUACGGUCGCUAGCUUGCCGUGUAAAGCCCCUUCGACGAGUCGAGUUGUUUGGGAAUGCAGCUCUAAAUGGGAGGUAAAUUUCUUCUAAAGCUAAAUAUUGGCCAGAGACCGAUAGCGCACAAGUAGAGUGAUCGAAAGAUGAAAAGCACUUUGGAAAGAGAGUCAAACAGCACGUGAAAUUGUUGAAAGGGAAGCGCUUGCAGCCAGACUUGCUUGCAGGCUCAUCCGGGCUUUUGCCCGGUGCACUCUUGCAGCAGGCCAGCAUCAGUUUGGGCGGUGGGAUAAGGUCUCUGACACGUUCCUUCGUUGGCCAUAUAGGGGAGACGAUACCCCAGCCUGGACUGAGGUCCGCGCUGCUAGGAUGCUGGCGUAAUGGCUGUAAGCGGCCCGUCUUGAAACACGGACCAAGGAGUCUAACAUCUAUGCGAGUGUUUGGGUGUCAAGCCCGAGCGCGUAAUGAAAGUGAACGGAGGUGGGAACGGUGCACCAUCGACCGAUCCUGAAGUUUACGGAAGGAUUUGAGUAAGAGCAUGGCUGUUGGGACCCGAAAGAUGGUGAACUAUGCUUGAAUAGGGUGAAGCCAGAGGAAACUCUGGUGGAGGCUCGCAGCGGUUCUGACGUGCAAAUCGAUCGUCAAAUUUGGGCAUAGGGGCGAAAGACUAAUCGAACUAUCUAGUAGCUGGUUCCUGCCGAAGUUUCCCUCAGGAUAGCAGUAACGUUUCAGUUUUAUGAGGUAAAGCGAUGAUUAGAGGCAUGGGGGUUGAAACAACCUUCACCUAUUCUCAAACUUUAAAUAUGUAAGAAGCCUUGUUACUUAAUUGAACGCGGGCAUUUGAAUGAAACGUAUUAGUGGGCCAUUUUUGGUAAGCAGAACUGGCGAUGCGGGAUGAACCGAACGAGGGGUUACGGUGCCGGAGACGCUCAUCAGACACCACAAAAGGUGUUGGUUCAUCUAGACAGCAGGACGGUGGCCAUGGAAGUCGGAAUCCGCUAAGGAGUGUGUAACAACUCACCUGCCGAAUGAACUAGCCCUGAAAAUGGAUGGCGCUAGCGUGUCACCUAUCCCCUCCGCCGGGGCAAAAUUUACGCCCCGGCGAGUAGG